CGGUUGAUCCUGCCGGAGGUUACUGCUAUCCGAAUCCGGCUAAGCUAUGCGAGUCUUGGGUAAAACCAAGGCGAACUGCUCAGUAACACGUCGAUAAUCUGCCCUAUGGUCUGGUCUAAUCCCGGGAAACUGGGGCCGAGGACCGGAUAGGCAAGAGGUACUGGAAUGUCCUCUUGCCCAACAUAGGAUGAGUCGGCGGCCUAUCAGGCUGUUGGGAGUGUAAAGUACUCUCAAACCGAUAACGGGUACGGGCCUUGAGAGAGGAAGCCCGGAGAUGGAUUCUGAGACAUUAAUCCAGGUCCUACGGGGUGCAGCAAGCGCGAAACUUCCGCAAUGCCCGCAAGGGUGACGGAGGGAUUCGGAGUGCUUUCUCCUCUGGAGAGAGCUUUUGUCGAGUCCAAAAAAAGGCGCUGCUAAAGUCAGCGUUUUGUGGAGAGCUCGACGAAUAAGUGGUGGGUAAUACGGGUGCCAGCCGCCAUGCUGGUAGCAGCUUUAAACUGCUCCCGGCACGGUAAGCGGUAAUACCCGAGCCACGAGUGGUAACCACGCUUAUUGGGCUUAGAGCGUUCGUAUCCGGCCAUGCAAGUUUCUGAUGAAAUCCCGCAGCCAACUGCGGGGCGUGUCAGGAAUACUGCUUGGCUUGGGACCGGGAGAGGCCGAGGGUAUUCCUGGGGUAGGAGUAAAAC
This 686-nucleotide ribosomal RNA is filed under the name uncultured archaeon. RNAcentral describes it as "bacterial SSU rRNA". It matches the Rfam family "Archaeal small subunit ribosomal RNA", at positions 5 to 638 of the family's 1478-position model. The record is from RNAcentral.